Molecule: ribosomal RNA, 201 nt
Filed under: uncultured bacterium
Lineage: Bacteria
Description: partial 16S ribosomal RNA
Rfam family: Bacterial small subunit ribosomal RNA
Source: RNAcentral
UAGUCUGCAACUCGACUACAUGAAGCUGGAAUCGCUAGUAAUCGCGGAUCAGAAUGCCGCGGUGAAUACGUUCCCGGGUCUUGUACACACCGCCCGUCACACCAUGGGAGUCAGUAACGCCCGAAGCCGGUGACCCAACCUAUCAGGAGGGAGCCGUCGAAGGCGGGACGGAUGACUGGGGUGAAGUCGUAACAAGGUAGC